This 253-nucleotide ribosomal RNA is filed under the name uncultured bacterium. RNAcentral's name for it is "partial 16S ribosomal RNA". It matches the Rfam family "Bacterial small subunit ribosomal RNA", at positions 524 to 776 of the family's 1533-position model. The record is from RNAcentral.
UACGUAGGGGGCAAGCGUUAUCCGGAAUGAUUGGGCGUAAAGCGUCUGCAGGUGGCAGUUCAAGUCUGCUGUCAAAGACCGGGGCUUAACUUCGGAAAGGCAGUGGAAACUGAACAGCUAGAGUAUGGUAGGGGCAGAGGGAAUUCCUGGUGUAGCGGUGAAAUGCGUAGAGAUCAGGAAGAACAUCGGUGGCGAAGGCGCUCUGCUGGACCAUAACUGACACUCAGGGACGAAAGCUAGGGGAGCGAAUGGG